RNAcentral lists this ribosomal RNA (397 nucleotides) under uncultured bacterium. RNAcentral describes it as "partial 16S ribosomal RNA". It matches the Rfam family "Bacterial small subunit ribosomal RNA", at positions 523 to 918 of the family's 1533-position model. The record is from RNAcentral.
AUACGUAGGGGGCGAGCGUUGUCCGGAAUGAUUGGGCGUAAAGGGCGCGUAGGCGGCCUGUUAAGUCUGGAGUGAAAGUCCUGUUUUCAAGAUGGGAAUUGCUUUGGAUACUGAUGGGCUUGAGUGGAGGAGAGGUUAUCGGAAUUCCCGGUGUAGCGGUGAAAUGCGUAGAGAUCGGGAGGAACACCAGUGGCGAAGGCGGGUAACUGGACUGCAACUGACGCUGAGGCGCGAAAGUGUGGGGAGCAAACAGGAUUAGAUACCCUGGUAGUCCACACUGUAAACGAUGAAUGCUAGGUGUAAGAGGUAUCGACCCCUUUUGUGCCGGAGUUAACACAAUAAGCAUUCCGCCUGGGGAGUACGGCCGCAAGGUUGAAACUCAAAUGAAUUGACGGGG